RNAcentral lists this ribosomal RNA (40 nucleotides) under Leucophleps spinispora. RNAcentral's name for it is "partial 28S ribosomal RNA". Lineage: Eukaryota; Fungi; Basidiomycota; Agaricomycetes; Boletales; Leucogastraceae. The record is from RNAcentral.
CCUAUGANCUCAAACAGGCGGGACUACCCGGCUGAACUAA